UACGAAGGGGGCUAGCGUUGCUCGGAAUCACUGGGCGUAAAGGGCGCGUAGGCGGCAUGCCAAGCGUGUGGUGAAAGCCCGGGGCUCAACCCCGGGUCGGCCGUGCGGACUGGCGUGCUCGAGCACUGUAGGGGCGGGUGGAAUUCCGGGUGUAGCGGUGGAAUGCGUAGAGAUCCGGAAGAACACCGGUGGCGAAGGCGGCCUUCUGGACGGUGACUGACGCUGAGGCGCGAAAGCGUGGGGAGCAAACGGG
Molecule: ribosomal RNA, 253 nt
Filed under: uncultured bacterium
Lineage: Bacteria
Description: partial 16S ribosomal RNA
Rfam family: Bacterial small subunit ribosomal RNA
Source: RNAcentral